GUAUCUAGAGGAAGUAAUAGUCGUAACAAGGUUUCUGUAGGUGAACAUGCGGAAGGAUCAUUAACGAGUUUUGAAAUGGGUUGUAGCUGGCCUUACGAAGGCAUGUGCACACCCUGCUCAUCCACUCUCAUACCCCUGUGCACCUAUUGUAGGCUUGGUGGGAUGAGUUGACCUCUCGGGGUUGACUCUGAAAGCCUGGUCUAUGUUUAUUACAAACGCUUUAGUUUAAGAAUGUCUACUUUGCGUCUAACGCAUUAAAUACAACUUUCAGCAACGGAUCUCUUGGCUCUCGCAUCGAUGAAGAACGCAGCGAAAUGCGAUAAGUAAUGUGAAUUGCAGAAUUCAGUGAAUCAUCGAAUCUUUGAACGCACCUUGCGCUCCUUGGUAUUCCGAGGAGCAUGCCUGUUUGAGUGUCAUGGUAUUCUCAACCUUUAUAGCUUUUUUGAGGCAAUAAAGGCUUGGACUUGGAGGUCGUGUCGGCGCAAGUCGACUCCUCUUAAAUGCAUUAGUGUGAACCUUACGGAUCGCCUCCAGUGUGAUAAUUGUCUACGCUGUGGUGUUGAAGUAUAGUCGAGUUCAUGCUUCUAAUUGCCGCAUGGACACACAAAUUAAAACUUGACAAUCU
RNAcentral lists this ribosomal RNA (625 nucleotides) under Phlebiodontia subochracea. RNAcentral's name for it is "eukaryotic LSU rRNA". The stretch from base 263 to 416 matches the Rfam family "5.8S ribosomal RNA". Lineage: Eukaryota; Fungi; Basidiomycota; Agaricomycetes; Polyporales; Meruliaceae. The record is from RNAcentral.